RNAcentral lists this ribosomal RNA (305 nucleotides) under uncultured bacterium. Its description in RNAcentral is "partial 16S ribosomal RNA". It matches the Rfam family "Bacterial small subunit ribosomal RNA", at positions 508 to 807 of the family's 1533-position model. The record is from RNAcentral.
ACAGCAGUAGCCGCGGGAAUACGAAGGGUGCAAGCGUUAAUCGGAAUUACUGGGCGUAAAGCGCGCGUAGGUGGUUUGUUAAGUUGGAUGUGAAAGCCCCGGGCUCAACCUGGGAACUGCAUCCAAAACUGGCAAGCUAGAGUACGGUAGAGGGUGGUGGAAUUUCCUGUGUAGCGGUGAAAUGCGUAGAUAUAGGAAGGAACACCAGUGGCGAAGGCGACCACCUGGACUGAUACUGACACUGAGGUGCGAAAGCGUGGGGAGCAAACAGGAUUAGAUACCCGCGUAGUCCCUGUCUCUUAUAC